This 1242-nucleotide ribosomal RNA is filed under the name metagenome. RNAcentral's name for it is "bacterial LSU rRNA". It matches the Rfam family "Bacterial large subunit ribosomal RNA", at positions 1708 to 2925 of the family's 2925-position model. The record is from RNAcentral.
GGGAACUCGGCAAAUUGCCCCCGUAACUUCGGGAGAAGGGGGGCCUCCGCUGGUGAUCAGACUUGCUUUGUGAGCUGGUGGGGGUCGCAGAGGCCAGGGGGAAGCGACUGUUUACUAAAAACACAGGUCCGUGCGAAGUCGUAAGACGAUGUAUACGGACUGACGCCUGCCCGGUGCUGGAACGUUAAGGGGACCGGUUAGCGCGCCUUCGGGUGUGCGAGGCUGAGAACUUAAGCGCCAGUAAACGGCGGUGGUAACUAUAACCAUCCUAAGGUAGCGAAAUUCCUUGUCGGGUAAGUUCCGACCUGCACGAAUGGCGUAACGACUUCCCCGCUGUCUCAACCGCAGACCCGGCGAAAUUGCACUACGAGUAAAGAUGCUCGUUACGCGCAGCAGGACGGAAAGACCCCGGGACCUUCACUACAGCUUGACAUUGGCGUUUGGAACGUCUUGUGUAGGAUAGGUGGGAGACGGUGAAGCUGUCACGCUAGUGGCGGUGGAGUCAUUGGUGAAAUACCACUCUGGUCGUUUUGAACGUCUAACUUCGGUCCGUGAUCCGGAUCAGGGACAGUGUCUGGUGGGUAGUUUAACUGGGGCGGUUGCCUCCUAAAGAGUAACGGAGGCGCCCAAAGGUUCCCUCAGCCUGGUUGGUAAUCAGGUGUCGAGUGUAAGUGCACAAGGGAGCUUGACUGUGAGACCGACGGGUCGAGCAGGAGCGAAAGCUGGGACUAGUUAUCCGGCGGUGGCAUGUGGAAGCGCCGUCGCUCAACGGCUAAAAGGUACCCCGGGGAUAACAGUCUGAUCUUCCCCAAGAGUCCAUAUCGACGGGAUGGUUUGGCACCUCGAUGUCGGCUCGUCGCAUCCUGGGGCUGGAGUAGGUCCCAAGGGUUGGGCUGUUCGCCCAUUAAAGCGGUACGCGAGCUGGGUUUAGAACGUCGCGAGACAGUUCGGUCCCUAUCCGCUGCGCGCGCAGGAGACUUGAAAGGAGCUGUCCCUAGUACGAGAGGACCGGGACGGACGAACCUCUGGUGUGCCAGUUGUUCCGCCAGGAGCAUGGCUGGUUGGCUACGUUCGGAAGGGAUAACCGCUGAAAGCAUCUAAGCGGGAAGCUCGCCUUGAGAUGAGGUCUCCCACCACGAGAGUGGGUAAGGCCCCCGGGAGACGACCGGGUUGAUAGGCCGGAGGUGGAAGCAUGGUAACGUGUGGAGCUGACCGGUACUAAUAGGCCGAGGACUUGACCAC